CGCAUCGAUGCAGCGCCCUUUUGGGAGUAAGGGCUCGCAGGCGGUUUCUUAAGUCUGAUGUGAAAGCCCCCGGCUCAACCGGGGAGGGUCAUUGGAAACUGGGGAACUUGAGUGCAGAAGAGGAGAGUGGAAUUCCACGUGUAGCGGUGAAAUGCGUAGAGAUGUGGAGGAACACCAGUGGCGAAGGCGACUCUCUGGUCUGUAACUGACGCUGAGGAGCGAAAGCGUGGGGAGCGAACAGGAUUAGAUACCCUGGUAGUCCACGCCGUAAACGAUGAGUGCUAAGUGUUAGGGGGUUUCCGCCCCUUAGUGCUGCAGCUAACGCAUUAAGCACUCCGCCUGGGGAGUACGGUCGCAAGACUGAAACUCAAAGGAAUUGACGGGGGCCCGCACAAGCGGUGGAGCAUGUGGUUUAAUUCGAAGCAACGCGAAGAACCUUACCAGGUCUUGACAUCCUCUGACAAUCCUAGAGAUAGGACGUCCCCUUCGGGGGCAGAGUGACAGGUGGUGCAUGGUUGUCCUCAGCUCGUGUCGUGAGAUGUUGGGUUUAAUCCCGCAACGAGCGCAAACCG
RNAcentral lists this ribosomal RNA (572 nucleotides) under uncultured bacterium. RNAcentral's name for it is "bacterial SSU rRNA". It matches the Rfam family "Bacterial small subunit ribosomal RNA", at positions 533 to 1105 of the family's 1533-position model. The record is from RNAcentral.